Long non-coding RNA from Anolis carolinensis (green anole), 2020 nucleotides. RefSeq lists it as uncharacterized. Lineage: Eukaryota; Metazoa; Chordata; Lepidosauria; Squamata; Anolidae. The transcript has 4 exons. The record is from RefSeq and is a predicted model, not a curated record.
ACUCUGGUUAGGAUUAGGCAGCACAAUGCUGAUGGGAAUAGUUAAUACCUUUUUCCCGGGCAUGAUGUGAGAAGUCGGUGCCAAACUCCGCCUUGGUUCCCCAAAGGAUAAAGCAUGAAUGGAUGGGCAGAUGAUGUCCAGAAUGAAUCCAUCCUCCAUCAUGAACCGUUUAGGGCAGUGGCUUCUUCUAUUGAUGGUCUUAAUGGGAUCUAUUGCUGGGCAGGAAGUGCCUGUCCCACUGAUCAAGAGGAUGUGUGCCAGCUGGCGAGGGAUCUGCCGCCGUUCCUGCUUGUCCCAUGAGAUGCACCUUGGCGUCCAUGGCUGUCCCCGUCAUUACAGGUGCUGUGUGCUGAGGAUGUAGCACCCUAAGCGGCAACGAAAGACUCUCCAUUUGCGCCCAGGAGAGUAUGAGCAGCCUAGAACGAAAGUGAAUCAGAGAAAUAUUCUUGGAAGACAAAGAACUGAAAAAUGUUCCACAAAACGAUGAAGAUGUUGCAAGUUAAAAUGCAUUUGUUCAGUGUGGGACACUGCUUUAUUUGAAUGAAAGUUGGCAAAUUUGGAACCGUUAGUCAUUAUCAUUUUACUGGGGAAAAAACCAGAUAUUUUUGGAAAGGCAAAAUAUGACCUUUUAGAGAUCAUAACCUUUUGGAAAACCUGGAAUCUCAAUAGCCAUUUGGAAGAUUAACUGGCAUUCAAAGUAUUUGGAAUAAUCAUAACCUUUUGUAAAGUAUGACCUUUCUGAGAAGAGUUAAAAACUCAUUUGAGUCAAUCUUCUCCUUAGUGGUAAAUAUCCACUAGUAUUCAUGCAAGAAAAAUUAGGGUUCUCAGUUGUUAGACUGAUAUACCUAGUUAUCUCUCUGAACUGUUAGGAACUAAGAUAAGUCAAUACACAAAAUAUAAAGCAGAUCUUCAGAAGUGUCAGUUGACCAAAAAACAUCUACUCUCCCACAAAAUAUAUUGGUUUUUAAAUCAUGCUCUCAAGAGACCCAAAAUAGAUAGUCUUCAUUAAAAGUAAUAUAGUUGAUUUACUUACAGACUUCAUGUAUUCAGCAUAGUUAAAUUUCUUAAUGGUUGAUAGUUUAAACAGUAAGUUAUCUAAAGCAUUCUGUUUUAGUGUCUUCUUUGUUGCAUACAGACUCCCUUCACUCUCUUCAGUCUAAUACAUAAUUGAACAUUGACUCAAUACAGACUGACUACACACUGCAGCAUACUAACACUGAUUACUGCAUACUAAUGUCCCUGACUUCAUAAACUAUAGUGACUCCUAAAAUGGAGUCUUAGUCUGAAUAGUCCCAGAUCUGGCCACAUGGUCUGUAGUCCCACUCACAACCUCAAACAACAUAGAGUUAAGGAAAAUGCAUAUCUAUAUAUAUAAAUUUGUUCUGACCAUUUCUACUUUAAUUAUAACAGAGAAACUACACAUCCCAGAACCACGAAACUUGGCCACAAAAGACAUGGUCCUCCCCACUGUGUUUAGACAACAAAACAAAAAAACAAACAAACUGCAAGUCCCUCAAAAUCCCAAAAAAACUGGGAAAAUCCAUGUGCGCAUGCGCCAAGCAUCCCCCACCCUUGGAAAACAAGCAUGCAAGGCAGCUCUGCGCAACCAUCGUAACUGUUGGAAAAACCGGACAACGUGACAAAAGGGAGAAGGGCUCAAACACACUCAAUAUAUACAUACAAUAUAGUAAGCAAUCACAACUGGAUACAUAACAAAUAACAAGUAUAGGAAGCUUGUAGAAAGUUGCUAUUUUCAACAGAUAUCAGUGAAUGAUUUAAUUGGACAGCGUAUACCUCCGGUAAUAAAAGAGAUUGUGUCUGUAUAGCUCCAAGACCAUGAAAUGUAAGACAUCUGAAACUGGGUUAAAUUGGGGAUGAGAAAACUAUGUUUGACUUGGAUUUGUGUGCAUAAUGGUAUACUCUUUCCUAAUUUGUUGUACUCCAUUAAUGAUGUGCUGUACAUAAUGUGCCAGGUGAGGUCACAAAUACAAGUAUACAAUUGUAUGCUGGAGAUGCUUAA